GAUCCGCCUAUCUGGCCUAUCUUUAUAGCUCUUUGUGUAAAAAUUCACACAAAGACACAUCUACCUUUUCUGGAUGUGUUGUUUUGCUCCAAGCAUGGGGUUGGUCAAGACUAUCGUCCCUAGCGCCCGUCAACAACAACCCUUUCACAUUCCCGUAUGCACAAAAAUGGUCGGCACAUGGUAUGAGUUGUAACAGAUGUCCUAGACACUGUAUUACCCAGUAUCGCAAUCUCUUGGAUCACCUUCGACCGACAGAUUUCAUUUGGCGUACAUACCUAAAUUUGGAUCAUGACCAUGAAAUCAACGAAGAAGACACAGUCGUAUGGACUGCAUGCACACCGAUCAUAAGAUUCAUAACUGUGGAGAUGCACAACAAUGAUCGUGUGAAAUUGCAGUUCGGUAUGCUUCAACACAUCCCAGAUCCCCCAGCAAACCUAGGAGAAUGGCAUCUGCGCAAAGUUAAUGACUAAUGGAACUUCAACCCAUGGCAAAGCUUCGCUAGAUUCGAGAGUCGCAAAUGGAAGCACCGCCAUGACCAUGUCUUAACUGACGCAGUGAUGCCAAAUGAAGAAAAACCAAGUUGUACUUAUAUGGCUUGGUAUAGAUCGGUUGGUUUUGAGUUCAUCAUCGAGGAUAUGUACCUAUAAGACCCACGCCAACAAACUUACACACCAGACGCCUCAACAUCUAACCCCCAACAACAUUGUCAGACCGGUUACACACAACCCCCUAUCCGUCAAACUUUCCAUUCAACAGACACACAAACAUACAACCCUAACAUGCCAUACACCCAGCCACAAUACCAAGAGAAUACACCGUACCACCACUAACAAAUAGAUCAUCAACCAAAGAUCCAACAUCGCUUCGUACCCAACACAUCACCCUACCAAAGUCGCCUUAGCCAAAACACUCAACGAUCAUUUAAUACCAACCGUCCCUCCUCCUACCAUAGCCAAGAAGCCCAAACCUCACAAAACUGAAACCUUCAAUAACCCUAUCUCUACCAAACACCACAACAAUCUUUCCAACAUUUCCUCGACGCAUCAUUCACACCAAUGUCUCCCUUCAACCGUCUCGGUCGCCCACCAACAAGUCAAACACAACCCAACUACUCUAGCAUGGGUCAUGAACUCAGCUAUGGCGGUACACCUUCGAUGCAUACUCAAGACUAUGUUGAUUUGUCUGACUAUCUCAACAGGCCAUCUCCUACAGUUGGUAGUGAUGUUCCUGGUCCCUCAGAUGCUCAAACACCAGUGGUGAAUCAUCAACGUGGGUUAUGGUCACGGGUUCGGGUAGCUAGGGGAUGUGGGGCCGGAGGUCGGUUAGGUGGCCCCGAUCAUCAACAUUAGGCAUUUCUGUUUAAACGGGAAUUUAUAUUAAUAUGAACUAGUCUGAUUUCGAAAUUAUGUAUCACGUAGACUGUUUUUUAUUUUUUUUUAUAAAAUACACUGAGGUGUCAAUCCAAUUGGCGUCUCCCUUUAACACAU
Lathyrus oleraceus (garden pea) is the source of this 1487-nucleotide long non-coding RNA. RefSeq lists it as uncharacterized. NCBI's taxonomy places the organism in Eukaryota, Viridiplantae, Streptophyta, Magnoliopsida, Fabales, Fabaceae. The record is from RefSeq and is a predicted model, not a curated record. The transcript is spliced from 3 exons.